UGCUGCUUUCUACAUUACUCCCACCCCCAAGAAAUAAAAGUGCAAAGCAGAAAAUCAAAACCAUCAAAAAUCCCACCCACCAAAAUGUAGCAUUUUGUAAACAAAUAAUUUUAAGAUUUUGCUAUGGAGGAGCUACUGGCACCAGCACUGCUGACGUGGAACGUUCUCAUCCACCUAAGAGCUUGGAAUAAAAACAGCCCUUUCAGCUUCUACUCAAUGUCACUGCAGCCUCUCAGGCUAAGUCUCAGGCAGGAAUCCAGAUGGGCUGGGCCAGAGAACAAUCUGUGUUACAGUGCAUGUACUGAGUCCAGAAAACCCUCUUCUCUCAAACCACGGCCCAUUGUUCUUUUAACCAAGCAAGUGUGCCUCUCACUUCUUUUCAGUUAAAGUGCAUUCUAACUUUUGGAGAUGAUGGAUUUUUGGAGAUGAUGGAUAUUUUUAUGGCAUAAACUAUGGUGAUAAUUUUACUAGUGUAUACUUAUCUCCAAACUCAUCAAGUUGAACAUAUUAAAUAUAUACAACUUUUUGUUUGUCC
RNAcentral lists this long non-coding RNA (535 nucleotides) under Equus caballus (horse). Its description in RNAcentral is "lncRNA (ENSECAG00000039746.3)". Lineage: Eukaryota; Metazoa; Chordata; Mammalia; Perissodactyla; Equidae. The record is from RNAcentral.